UACGGAGGGGGCGAGCGUUGUUCGGAAUCAUUGGGCGUAAAGGGCGCGUAGGCGGCCGUCCAAGUCGGGUGUGAAAUCCCUCGGCUCAACCGAGGAACUGCACUCGAUACUGGUCGGCUAGAGUCCGGGAGGGGAUGGUGGAAUUCCCAGUGUAGCGGUGAAAUGCGUAGAUAUUGGGAAGAACACCGGUGGCGAAGGCGGGUCUCUGGGCCGUAACUGACGCUGAGGAGCGAAAGCGUGGGGAGCGAACAGG
Molecule: ribosomal RNA, 253 nt
Filed under: uncultured bacterium
Lineage: Bacteria
Description: partial 16S ribosomal RNA
Rfam family: Bacterial small subunit ribosomal RNA
Source: RNAcentral